Molecule: ribosomal RNA, 253 nt
Filed under: uncultured bacterium
Lineage: Bacteria
Description: partial 16S ribosomal RNA
Rfam family: Bacterial small subunit ribosomal RNA
Source: RNAcentral
UACGGAGGAUCCGAGCGUUAUCCGGUUUUAUUGGGUUUAAAGGGUGCGUAGGCGGAUUGAUAAGUUAGAGGUGAAAUGUCCGAGCUUAACUCGGGAACUGCCUCUAAUACUGUUGAUCUAGAGAGUAGAUGCGGUAGGCGGAAUGUAUGGUGUAGCGGUGAAAUGCUUAGAGAUCAUACAGAACACCGAUUGCGAAGGCAGCUUACCAAUCUAUAUCUGACGUUGAGGCACGAAAGCGUGGGGAGCAAACAGG